GGGUCAUGGUUCCAGAAGCAUGUACUUCUGACAAGGUAAGUGCAAGUCGAGAGAAAUAUUCACAAACAUGGACAGGCCUCUCCUGGUUCUGGACCAGACUCCACAGCCCCAAGGCCACAUCCUCAUGUGGAGCUAAGCAGAGUCAACACCCAGGAGUCCCCAGGCUUCACCUGUGCCUGGCUUGCCAGCAUUCCUUUGUCACAAGAAAUCAUACAUUAUUGUGGGUGGAGACUUCCCUGGUGGUCAUGUGGUUAAGAAUCCGCCUUCAGUGCAGGAGGCUGCAGGGGGGAACACAGGUUGGAUCCCUGAUCAGGAACUAGGACCCCACAUGCCCCGGGGCAAGUGAGCCUGUGCACCACAACUAGAAAAGCUCCCGCACACUUCAGCUAGAGAAAAGCCCCGGCAUGCUGCAACAAAGACCCAGUGCAGCCAAAAAAAAAAAAAAAACGAAUUUACUGUGGGUGAUGAGCAAUGCUUGAGAACUGGGCAGAAUGCAAACACUGUCAUUCCCCUGCUGUCCCUGCUGGGACCCCACACUCAGGAAAGCCAUCUGGGUGAGGUCGGAUGAGCAUGACCAGAGGAAGCAAGGGGCAGGUGGGCAGGGGCUUAACGCUCAGCUCUAGAGUAUGGUUCCUGUGCCACCCUGGGCUAGUUCCCCAGCCUCUCAGGGUCUAAUUUAUCCUCUCUUCUGAAGACAAUCUUUCUCAUCCUUGGCUAAAAUCACUUGAUGAACUUCAAAAAGACAACCACACCUGGACCCUGAGCCAGUUGGAGGAAAUUAGACUCCCUGGGGGUAGAACCCAUGAACCGUUGCACAGCUUGUGGGAUCUUGGUUCCUGGACCAGAGAUCGAAUACAGGCCCUCAGCAGUGAAACCAUGAAGUCUUAACCACUGGACCACCAGGGAAUUCACUAGUCUAUUAC
Molecule: long non-coding RNA, 923 nt
Organism: Bos taurus (domestic cattle)
Lineage: Eukaryota; Metazoa; Chordata; Mammalia; Artiodactyla; Bovidae
Source: Ensembl